AGCCCACCAGCUAGCUCACCCGCCUAAAAUCAAUAGCCAACUAUUUAUAACCCCAAACAAACUAGAGAUACUCUUAAACAAACCAUUUUUCCCCCUUAGUAUGGGCGACAGAAAAGGACCAUCCGUAAGCAACAGCAACAGUACCGCAAGGGAACGCUGAAAGAGAAAUGAAAUAAAUCAGUCAAGCGCAAAGAAGCAGAGCUCAGCCCUCGUACCUUUUGCAUCAUGAUUUAGCAAGAAAACAUCAGGCAAAAAGCAUUAUAGUUUGAUUCCCCGAAACCAAGUGAGCUACUCCAAGGCAGCCUUUAGGGCGCACCCGUCUCUGUGGCAAAAGAGUGGGAUGACCUUCGAGUAGAGGUGACAGACCUACCGAACUUGGUUAUAGCUGGUUGUUCAAGAAUUGAAUAGGAGUUCAGCCUUUUGUCACCUUCCCUCAAACACCGACCACUCCCGAAGAGUUGAAGAUCAACAAAAGAGUUAGUCAAAGGGGGUACAGCCCCUUUGAAAUAGAUACAACUUUACUAGAAGGGUUAAGAUCAUACUAUUUACUCAAGGAGCAUGUUCUAGUUGGCCUAAAAGCAGCCACCCAUACAGAAAGCGUUAAAGCUCAGACACCCCUCCCUCCCAUUAUUCGGACCACCCAAAUCUUACCCCCCUUCACCUACUGGACCUUCCCAUACCCCUAUGGGAGAGACUAUGCUAAUAUGAGUAAUAAGAGACCCCAGCGUCUCUCCCUGCACAAGUAUACAUCGGAACGAACCCGCACCGAAAAUUAACGGCCCCCCUCCCAGAGGGAAAUGGAAUAUUAUGAUUAAGCCACGAGGAAUACACCCACCCCGCCCGACCGUUGACCUUACACCAGUGUGCACACAAGGAAAGACUAAAAGAAAGAGAAGGAACUCGGCA
RNAcentral lists this ribosomal RNA (906 nucleotides) under Taeniamia buruensis. Its description in RNAcentral is "partial 16S ribosomal RNA". The stretch from base 194 to 906 matches the Rfam family "Bacterial large subunit ribosomal RNA", at positions 568 to 1719 of the family's 2925-position model. Lineage: Eukaryota; Metazoa; Chordata; Actinopteri; Kurtiformes; Apogonidae. The record is from RNAcentral.